AGUGAACGCUGGCGGUAGGCCUAACACAUGCAAGUCGAACGGCAGCACAGUAAGAGCUUGCUCUUACGGGUGGCGAGUGGCGGACGGGUGAGGAAUACAUCGGAAUCUACUUUUUCGUGGGGGAUAACGUAGGGAAACUUACGCUAAUACCGCAUACGACCUACGGGUGAAAUCAGGGGAUCUUCUGACCUUGCGCGAUUGAAUGAGCCGAUGUCGGAUUAGCUAGUUGGCGGGGUAAAGGCCCACCAAGGCGACGAUCCGUAGCUGGUCUGAGAGGAUGAUCAGCCACACUGGAACUGAGACACGGUCCAGACUCCUACGGGAGGCAGCAGUGGGGAAUAUUGGACAAUGGGCGCAAGCAUGAUCCAGCCAUACCGCGUGGGUGAAGAAGGCCUUCGGGUUGUAAAGCCCUUUUGUUGGGAAAGAAAAGCAGCAGGUUAAUACCCCGCUGUUCUGACGGUACCCAAAGAAUAAGCACCGGCUAACUUCGUG
This 492-nucleotide ribosomal RNA is filed under the name uncultured bacterium. RNAcentral describes it as "partial 16S ribosomal RNA". It matches the Rfam family "Bacterial small subunit ribosomal RNA", at positions 29 to 507 of the family's 1533-position model. The record is from RNAcentral.